Molecule: ribosomal RNA, 381 nt
Filed under: uncultured eukaryote
Lineage: Eukaryota
Description: partial 18S ribosomal RNA
Rfam family: Eukaryotic small subunit ribosomal RNA
Source: RNAcentral
CAAUAGCGUAUAUUAAAGCUGUUGCGGUUAAAAAGCUCGUAGUUGGAUUUCUGUCAAGGACAACUGGUCCGCCCCUCGGGUGAGCACAUAGUUUGGUCUUGGCAUCUUGUUGGAAACUGUUGCUGCACUUGGUUGUGUGGCGCAGUGUCCAGCACUUUCACUUUGAGGAAAUUGGAGUGUUUCAAGCAGGCACAUGCCUUUGGACACAGUAGCAUGGAAUAAUUAGAUUGGGCUUUUGCUCCAACUUGUCGGUUUCUGGAGCUGAGGUGAGAAUUAAUGGGGAUUGUUGGGGGCAUCCGAAUUUAGCCGUCAGAGGUGAAAUUCUUGGAUCUGCUAAAGAUGGACAACUGCGAAAGCGUUUGCCCAGGAUGCUUUCAUUGA